CAACGAAAUUAGUACUCCCAACUUUCCUAUAUUAAGAAACCCCCAAAGGACCCAAACCCUAACCCCGCCAUGAGAGACGAAGCCGAGAAUCGAAGCAACGUCAACAACAAUCCGGAGAAGAAGAAGAAGAAAACCGACGGCCAGUUCGAGUUCUGCAGAGUCUGCAGGCUGAACCACGACCAAGGCCGUCGCCACAAGUACUUCCCCAACCACGCCAAGUCUCUCUCCUCCCUCCUCUCUCGCUUCCAGGAAAAGCUCUCCGACGUCCGCUUCUUCCUAAAAAACCCCAGCCCUCUCCGCCCCGAGCACGCCUCCCGCAACCGUCUCUGGUGCGUGUUCUGCGAUUCCGACGUCGUUGAGGCCGGCAGCUCUUUCGCAUGUGGUAAUGCAAUCAAUCAUCUGGCAAGUGCCGAGCAUUUGAAGAAGUUAAAGAGUUUUAUGUGGAAGCACGGAGGUGGGAUGGAGAAACUGGAUUCCUUCAGGCUUUCUGAGACAGAUUUAGCAAAGUGGGACAAAAAGUGCACGUCACUGUUGAGUGAAGCUGCUAGUGAAGGAUCGCGUGCACCUUUAAUUGGGCCUUCAAAUGAUAUCCACAAUGAACUGAACUCUGAAUGUAUAGAUAGUUUUCAAGAAAAUACUAACCACUUUCUUGGAUCAAAAUUUUCAAAUAGUGUUAUGCCUUUACAAAGCUAUACGAAUGAGAGAUGUCAGGUUUCCCAUUCAGAAAUAUCUGAUGUCAAGAAGGUUGGCCCUCUUCCCCAUGAUGCUAAUGCAUAUUUGCCUGCGGGCACACAAUAUGAUACACAUUCAUGGGCUCCGAAGUAUUUAACAGGUUACAUGGAUAGCCAACAACCUAUGGUUUUUAAUGGCGGGAAUUUCGCAGCCAAUUUUUAUCCCAGUAGUGAAUGGAUGUACCAGGCACAUCCAGAUGAAAGAAUGGUUAAUGGAGAGAGCAGUUCUCAGGGGUUGCAUAAUCUCACUCAGAUCUCUGCGGCAGUUCAAGAAGGAGCUAAAGGAAAUGUGCAUUCUGGGGCACCUCCUCCCUGGUUUGAUGCAACUGAAGAAAAUCUAAGAAACAGUAAACUAACAGACGGACUAGGAAAGAAUAACCUUGCUUCUUCUCUCAAAAAGUCGGGGAAGUCCCAGAAAUUGAAUCCAAAGCGAGUGGGAGCUGCUUGGGCUGAAAAGAGAAAGAUUGAGCUGGAGAUGGAGAAGCGAGGGGAGAUUGCCACUGAUAAUUUUGACGUUAACUGGCUACCUAAUUUCGGCCGAGUUUGGCAAUCUGGUAGCCGAAAGGAAUCUAGAAAAGAAUUUCAGGUGGAGAACAAAAACUCCCCAAAGGGUGAAACUCAGUCAGAGACAUUGAUCGAGAUACAGCCUUAUGUUAGCAAACGAAAGCGAACAGAGGUGGAGCAAUGAUACUUGACAAGCUUCGAAUUGGAGAUACAGUGGGGGCAAAGAUUUUGUUAUGAAUAGGAAGGUAAUGGACGGAUUCACCUGGAAUGCAUCAACUCGGUUGCCUUUAGUCAUUGCCAAUGGAGUUCAUUUGGUGAUACACGAGUGUAUAUGUUCAUCUGACUUUGAAAUUAGCGCAGUUGAGAAAAGCUGAGAUCCCUUUCUGUUUUUUCCCCAAAUCUAAGGAAUCUGAGUGAGGAAAGUACAAUGGUUUGCUCUUGUUUCAGUUUUUGGGUGCCUUUUGGGAUUUUCCUGUGGAUGCCGAAAAUGAAAAGGCUCAUUUGGUGCAGAAUGAAUUUCCUCAAGGCAUUGCUCAACAGGUGGAAAUAUAAAGAACAUAAAUGGCCCUUGCCACGUUCCUUAACAAGCCCUCUGCCACUUUGUGCUGCCUUCUGACACUCCGGAGUGUAUGAUGACAACUUUACCCGCAGGAGUAUAUAAUGACAACUUCCAGGGGCUCAUGCCCGAUUAUGAGACUGCUUGUUGGAUGUCCGAGGCACCUUGCUCCGACCUGAGCUAUGCAACAAGAAGACCCCCAUGGAACCUUGCUGGAACUGCUUGACAAGAAUUAUUGAUACAUGUGGUUUUGAAAUUGACUAAUGUUGGGAAUGUGCCUAUCGGUCAUCAGAUGCUCCUAAAUCUACCAUCCCAAUGCUCUUUUCCGGGAUGGCUCGACAACAGCCUCCAAUGGCAUAAGUUAUGUCCAGCCUAGUACAUGAGACCAAAGUUAUGAAUCUCGUACUGUAUCAGCCGGUACGUACCGAUAUUGUCCAAAUCCGUUACCCUCUAAUUUCGUGCCGGAUAUGGAUACUCCCUCAUACCCUUCCCUUCAUCCGUUAUGGGAUACAGAUUUGCUCAACUUGGUACGAGGAUUCAUCAGAACCCCCAAAACAUUCUCAUUCGAAACAUCAUGGAACCUCAAAGCUUUCCCAAGCCCAUACUUUUGCUUGAUGAGGAGAUCAUCCAACUAAGUUACAGUAGCAGCAGGAGGGAGAGAGAGAGCGCUUUGUGUGGGUCAGUCUCGGACUCGUCGGCGAAAAAGUCAAGCUACUCUUUGAUUCGAGUCAUAUUGAAUGAAAUAUAUACCAUUGGUUGAUAUGGGUUAUUGAAUUCACUAAUGAUGUAUUGACAAGCUUACAGUGACGACCAAGCAGUUGGUCAACAUUUCCCAGUUGUAUUUUUUUAAACGUCUCUUUGCUCAAAUUAGAAGUAUACUUCUCAUAACCUUGACCUUAUCUAACCUCUCUUCUGAGUUCUGAGGAUUACAGUCCAGUUUCAGUUUAGAUCUGCUAGAUUCCAAGAUGAAUU
RNA transcript from Rhododendron vialii, 2763 nucleotides. It is a transcript of the gene named TITAN-like protein, with no coding region annotated. The transcript has 8 exons. The record is from RefSeq and is a predicted model, not a curated record. NCBI's taxonomy places the organism in Eukaryota, Viridiplantae, Streptophyta, Magnoliopsida, Ericales, Ericaceae.